GUAAAAGUAAGCUAACUUAAAGCUGUUGGGUCCAUACCCCAAGUAUAGAGUUUAUAAUUCCUCUCUUUUCCA
This 72-nucleotide transfer RNA is filed under the name Tropostreptus austerus. RNAcentral's name for it is "tRNA-Met". Lineage: Eukaryota; Metazoa; Arthropoda; Diplopoda; Spirostreptida; Spirostreptidae. The record is from RNAcentral.